Molecule: non-coding RNA, 12954 nt
Organism: Pelobates cultripes (western spadefoot toad)
Lineage: Eukaryota; Metazoa; Chordata; Amphibia; Anura; Pelobatidae
Source: the annotation of a GenBank genome assembly
GAACAAUGCAAGGUUCAGGUAAUUAGUCUGAAAUAAUACUUUAAUGUUACUGGAAGAUGUUAUUUAAACCUUUAAUUAUACAAAAUCAAAGAAGUUGAAAUAAAAAGUGUGAAAACGCAGCCAUUUACCUAAUAAAAAAAAAAAUCUUGUCUAUAGACAACCAUUGAUUUGUGCUGCAUUCACAACUAAAACAUUUUGGUCUGAAACAGUAUUGAUGAAAAAUAGUUUGAUGUGGAAUUCUUUCUUUCAAUGUUCUCUCACUGUAAAUAACACAUUCCUCUGCUGUAGGCAACAUUUUUGCUCUUCAAGUUUAAAUGGGUGAUGUUUUGUCAUUUGGACCGUCCUAUCAAUGAACAGAUUAUGAGAGCUGCCUGUACUGGUCUUGUAUGUAUUUUUAUAAUUUUAGUAUAUCCCCUGUGAGUCCACAUUUUUCUUUAUUAAACAAGUUCAAGUUUUUUAGCCAUUCUUCAUAAUUAAAAUCAAAAUCUUCAGUUCCCCUAAUUAAUUGUGUAGCCUAUACACAAUUAUACACAAUCUUUUUAGUAUUACACUUAUUUACAUCCUUCUUUACAACACUUUCGCUUUAUUGCACCACGUAUUGAAGGUGCAGGUAUUACCAUUGCUUGAUAAUGAUGCAAUUAGUAUUUUGCCCUGUGAAUGAAUAGUCCUUUUAACCACUAACAUUGCUAGGGGGGUCAGAGGCCCCCUAUGUUAUACUGUGCCCCCCCCCCCAUCCCCAUUUGCCCUCCAGAGAGGGAGAGAAAAUUACGUGAAUCAUGAUAGGAAUCUUGACCAAUAAGCUAAUUCCUGGCACUGGGAGCCCUACAGAUGUGUAAAUGGUUGUGGUGACAGUACAGGCAAUGGGAGCCCUACAGAUGUGUAAGUUCUUGUGGUGGUUAGGAUUAUGGGUAGGAUUAAGGGUACGAGUAGGGUUAGGCAGCCCUACAAAUGUUCUGAAUUGCCAAAGUUCCAAAUUUCAGAAGUGCCAAGCCGAAUUGCUGACGUGCCAAAUUGCAGAAGUGUCAAAUUUUUUUCCUUACCCGAAUUUCCAAACCAAACUUAAUUUUUGGCCCAUGCACAUCCCUAGUUCAGUGCUCAGCCUGGAAAUAUUGAUUGGAUACGUUUCAAGUAAACUGUGCAGGUCCCAAGGUUAUAAAGGGGAAGCAGGAUUGAUUGCAGUGCAACUAGGCGCCCAGGGAUUUAGAAAUCAGUCACAGCUGUACUCUCCUGGAUCCCUUUUUAUUAUGCCAAUACUUAUGGCCCAUUUGCUAACAACAGCACAAUAACUUCUAUAGGGAAAUCAAAUGUACAGGGUUAAUUAGCCCAUAAAUCCCGUCCCAUCAAUCACAGUCAAAAACACACGAUUUACAAAAAUAUAUUUCGUAAGUCUGUGGCAGUGUUUUAUAUUUAGUAUAGGAUUUAUUAUAGGUUCAAUGUGAAACAAGCAGGUAAAAAAUGUGCAUGAGAAACAAGCAUGGCAUUUGGUACAGUGCCAAGUAUAAUUGCAGCUAUUUUUAAAUGACACUCUUUCCUUGAUUAAAAUGUUUCUUCAAUAAAGGAAACAUAAACAUCGGUAUAAAUAACCAAAAUGUAAAAAUAUCAGAGUUGCAAAAGUCCAUUUAUGUUAACCAGACAAAUAAUGGCUGUUAUACUGAGGCCACCAUUUAAGGCAGUACUGACUAAUGUUGGUAUCAUAGAUGUUUGUAAAAUAAAUUCCUGUUUAUCAAGGUUGUCUUAACAGAAUUUUAGGCCCCAGGGCAAAGCGGUGCACUGGGACCCUGCCUGCACAACCACUCACACGAUUAAAAAUGUUAACUAUCGACAAAAUGAAGCUUAAAUGUAUUGGUACCUCCACCAAAAUCAGUGUUUAACAUUUUAAAAACCUGCUGUAUUGCAGAGUUGAAUCCACACAAACAUUUAGUAGGCAGCAGGAAGAGGCAACUGACAUGGAUUGUUAAAAAUAUUAGAAUAACUUUAUUAUAGUUUAACGGCUUCAAAAACUUCUGUGUGUUUAUUUUGUCUUGCUUAUGUACAAUUAGUACAUGUGCGUUGUUUUCGUCAAGGUCAAGAUAUUGGGAAGACUAGAUGGGCUCCUCUCCAGCCAGUUAGUUCUUGAAGAGUGGCCGAGCGCAGCCCAGAUCUUUCCGCCCGCAGAGCCCAGCCUUUUACCCUGGUGUCUGCUGCAGGCUGUGUGGAGGGAGUGGGAAUAUGAAUUACAUCAUAUAACUGCUCCCUGUGUGCCACACAGCGCGGCUGGCACGCAGUGAUGGGGCUGGGCUGCAGGACGAGACUCCACAGAGCCGAACAACAUGCACCCUAGGGACCAGAUGUAAAUAUGUAAUUGUGACUGACUGCUUAUGUAUGUAUGUCUCUGCAUGCAUGCAGGUAUGUAUGUCUCUGCAUGCAUGUAUGUAACUGUAUGUAUGUAUGUAUGUAUGUAUCUAUCUGUAUGCCUGUAUGUAUACCUCUGUAUGCAUGUAUGUAGCUGUAUAUAUGUAUGUUUCUGUAUGUAUGUUUCUGCAUGCAUGUAUGUCUCUGUAUGCCUUUUAGUCUCUGUAUGUAUGUUUCUGUAUGUAUUUGUAUGUAUGUUUCUGUAUGCCUAUAUGUUUCUGUAUGUAUGUUUCUGUAUGCCUGUGUGUCUCUGUAUGUAUGUACAUAUGUAGGUAUGUUUGUGUCUCUGUAUGCCUGUAUGUGUUUGUAUGUAUGUGUCUGUAUGUAUGUUUCUGUGUGUUUGUAUGUCUCUGUAUGCCUGUAUGUAUAUAUGUGCCUGUAUGACGGUAUGCCUCUUUAUGCAUGUAUGUCUCUGUAUGUAUGUAUGUCUCUGUAUGCCUGCAUGUCUCUAUAUGCCUGUAUGUCUCUGUAUGCCUGUAUGUGUGUAUGUCUCUGUAUGUGUGUAUGUCUCUGCCUGUAUGUCUCUGUGUAAUCAUGUCUGUGUUUGUAUGAAACUGUACCUAUAUGACUUUGAUUGUGUGCCUUUUAUGACUGUGUACCUGAAAAAUUAUGCCUGUGUGCCUGUGGCUUGGGAGGAAAGACACACAAAUGGAUCUGGAGGGGAGGGACACACAAAAUGGACUGAGGGGAAAAAGAGCCACACAGAGCGUCUGUGGUGGAGAAGGAGACAUGGAAAGGGGCUGAAGGUAAGAUACACACAAAGGGGCUAGGAGGAUGUAAGAGACAUACAAAGGGGGUUGUAAGACACACUAAAGGGGGAAUAAAACACACUAGAGCAAAAAAGAGGCAAGAAAUUCAAAAAGGGGGGGUUACAAAAAGACACACAGGUGAAGAUGCAUUUAAUUUUUUUUUACAAUGGGGCCGAGGAGGGCGGCAAAAUGCAUUUUCGCCUGUGUAGCUAAAAAUCCUUGCACCAGCAAGAAUGGGUUCAUACUUAUAUAUCUACACAAAGGCUGGAAAUGUUACAUUUUUUAUUUUACUUUAUGAACUAUCAGAUUGCAAGGACAUCGCAAGUUUGAGAUAUUUUGUUCUACAGGAGCAUGUCUCUUAUUUAAACCUAUAUAACGUCUCGGAUAAUGAUUAAGCAUUGCAGUUUUUUAAUAAAGCUACGAUUACAUAUUUAGAAAUAUCAAUGGGAUACAAUGGCAAUUGAUUACUCUAAUGGCAAUUGAUGAAUAUAAUGGUCUACAAAUAAAGUUCUGACAAUUCUAUUAUUAUUAUUAUUUAUAAAGCGCCAACAAGUUCUGUAGCACUGUACAAUGGGUGGAUUAACAGAUACGUAUUUGUAACCAGACGAGUUGGGCACACAGGAAGUGAGGGAUUGAGGGCCCUGCUCAAUGAGCUUACAUGCUAGAGGGAGUGGGGUAAAGUGGCACAAAAGGUAAGGGUAUGGUAGAAAGGUAGGUUGCUAGGAUAGUGUUCAUUGAGGGCUUAGUGUUUUGUUUUGAUGACAGUUUCAGGCUAGGAAUCUGGGUUUUAUCUUUCGCUUUAGAACAACCCCUGUAGUUUUGCUCCUGCUUUAAUAGAGACAGACUAGAGCAGACGGUAUUGUAUAUCUACACUAAAGUUGAAUGAAGGUACCUGUGAGGGCAGAUGAAGAAAUACUUUUGUGUAGCACUGUUUAAGUGUCACACUAGGAAGGCUUAUGAUGAAUCGCGUUAUAUAAGUACAAAUAAAUAAAAACAACACCAUUGUUCCAGAGGAUCAGAAUCAAAACCUUGCUCUCUCGAAUGCUCUCUUUAUUGAAUUAAUAUUAUUUUAUAAGAAAAGGCCAAGGAUUGCAUUAAGCUAUAAAAGAAAAAUCAAAGCGAGUAAAGAAUUCUUAAAGAUUAAAAAAUUCAAAGAUCCUGUUACGGAAAAGAACAUCUACAAAUAGCAAGAGAGUCAACGUGCUACACUUUCAGCCAAAGCUAGAUAGACUGUUCUAUGGCAUUGCGGCAAACUUGCACCAUAAUUCCUAUUUUUCUAACUUGUGUAAUUUUGCUGUAAUGCCACUUAGCAAAGGCUCCAGUCAAAGUGGGAGCACUUCAUAUGAAACCAAAGAAACCUCAGUGCUAUUUGGUCUUCCAUAAUGGUGCCGCGGUUACGAUCUCUGGAAUAGCCUUUUUAUUGGCAGAAGAGCUUUGCCUAAUGACAGCAGACAUUACGUCUUACUAGGCGAGCAGUGCCAGAAGAAUUAACCUUUUCAGUGCCGCACCAGAGAGAUUAAAGGUUAUAUUUAUAUAUAUAUAUAUAUUAUUAUUAUUUUUAAUUAAAUUUUUGUUUUGUGUUAUGAGCUGUCAUAUUGCAAGGACACCCUCUUUAUGAGACGUUCUAUUUUGUACAAAAGCAUCCCCCUCUCAAUUAGCUUGUGUAAGUGGGAUAGGCUACAUAUACAAUAUAACUAAAAUAUGCUUUUAGAAGAAAUGAUGGUACUUUACAUCUUAUAGCAAGCCAAAUCAAUAAAGAUUAUCCUCUCUAAUGCUACAAGGCGGUUUGCCAAGAUAAAAGCUUGAAAUGUCAGGUUUUAUUUUUUUUAAUGUGCUUAGUAAACAUUCUACGCUUUAUAUAUUUUUCUUAUUAUCAUAAUUUUAAUUGUGUUUUCAAUAACUUCUAAGUUGGAAGUACAUACUGUAAAUUUCAAUUAUUAUUUUUUUCCUCCUUGCUUUGAAAAUAAAAGUUAAUUUAGGAUGAAAGACAAGAUGCCAAGGCUGUUGUUUUGCCUCGGGAUAUCUCUGCAUAUUAAAUAGAUUUCUUAUGCAUUAGAUAAAUGUGAAAGAAGGAAGUAUGAAGAUUAUGUAUAACAAAAAUGUAAUGGCAGGGUGGUGGCAUCAAGGGUUGCUUUAGAGGCACAACAGAUGGGGGUGGUAAUUUUACAAAGUUUAACCCAAAAAAUGAAUGAUGAGAUUUUUGCCAUUCUCUUUAUCAAGAUUAUGUCCUGAUCUUACUGCCAUAUCAAAGGUGGUAAACAUGUCUUUACUAGCAAUUAGUCUAAUCUAAAGUGAUGUCCCGAACGGUUCGCCGAACGGUUCGCCAUGAACGGUUUGCCACGGACUCAUCAUUGAGUAAACUUUGACCCUGUACCUCACAGUCAGCAGACACAUUCCAGCCAAUCAGCAGCAGACACUCCCUCCCAGACCCUCCCACCUCCUGGACAGCUCACUAAGAAUGCAGCUUCACAAUGAAUGUAAAAUGGAUGCUGUCCACAGGGUCACUCGUUGGUGAACCGUUCGUGGCGAACCGUUCGCGAACCGUUUGUGGCGAACCGUUCGCGAACCGUUCGCGAACCGUUCGGCGAACCGUUCGGGACAUCACUACUAAUCUAUAAUCCGAAAUAAUGGUGUCAUAUAAUGUAAGUCAACUAUUGAGAGAGUGGCAUCUUGUUUCCUACAUUUGUACAUUUUCUCCAAUUUAAAGUCUAAUAAGAUAAUUAAUUCAUAGUCUUUAUAGGACUAAGGAUGGACUUUUUCAUCAAUUAGUGAAUCUAUAGAGAAAUCUGAAAAGUUGGAUACGGAAAUAUUCUACUAUGUAUUUUUCAUGUCAGAAAUAAUCGACUAAUAAAAAAAACUCCCAUGAUAUUUCUCAGCAGAGUGUUUUCUUAAUAUGGUGACACACUGCCAAGAGUUUGAACCUACAAAAAUGAAUAUAAUUCAUUUUGAUUAUGUGUUCUGAGAACAUUUCCUAGCACAACAUAGAGAUUACAUUUUAUUUUCUAUAAAUUGGGAUUUUGCUUGACAGGUGCACUUUAAGGGACUUUAAAGGAGCACUAUAGGGUCAGGAACACAAACAUAUAUUUCUGACCCUAUAGUGUUAAAACCACCAUCUAGCCCCCCGGUCCCCUCUUGUCACCCUAAAUAUAGUAAAAAAAUUACUUGUUUUCAAGUCUGCAGCUGCUACCUUUGCCCCUGUUUGCCUGUGAACUGCCUCUGUCUGCUGACCUCAUCAGAAGUGGUGAUCUGAGCCAAUCACAAUGCUUCCCCAUAGGAUUGGCUGAGACUAUCAAGGAGGCAGAUCAGGGGCAGAGCCAACACAAGUCAAACACAGCCCUGGCCAAUCAGCAUCUCCUCAUCAAGGAGCAUCUUUAUGAGGAAAGUUCAGUGUCUGCAUGCAGAGGGUGGAGACACUGAAUGGCAGUGCUGCUUACUCUGCACCACAACCCCAGGAACCACCUCUUGCAGCCAUCUGAGGAGUGACCAGUGGAGUUAUGAUAUCCCUAGGAUAUAAUGUAAACAUUGCAUUUUCUCUGAAAAGACAGUGUUUACAGCAAAAAAGCCUGAAGGUAAUGAUUCUACUCACCAGAACAAAUGCAAUAAGCUGUAGUUGUUCUGGUGACUAUAGUGUCCCUUUAAGGAACUGGAAGCGCCACAAAGUAGACUUUUAAGGCAAAUAUUGUCUAAAAUGAAAAAAAAUAGCUAAAUUGAAUGAAGCAUGUUUCAAUUUUCUCAUGUUGUCAUAAAAUGUGCGAUUCCCUGUGGGUUUCUCUAAUCAUGGAAAUCAGAAUUCCUUUUGGAUCAACCACAGAAACAGAUUUAUGGACCGUUGAACUUGAUGGACUUUAAAUUUAGGGCAAAAAUAGCUGAACUGGUAGUAUAAUUUGUGUGGACAAUUUUUAAGCUGUACAGAGGAUUCUAAAGCUAGUGGAGUCACAUGUGAUUUUUGUGCCUGUGUGUACCUAAUACAAGGAAAGAGGUCGUCUAUUAAAAGGGUCAGUACAAUUCUUUCUCUCCAGCUCCACUGUUAAUAUAUUACUGCUAAGAGAGCCAUUAAAGGGACAUCUCAUUGAAGUGGUCUGGGUGCAGUGUCGCUGUUCCUUUAACCUUGCAAUGUAAAACAUUCCAGUUUCUGAGAAACUGCAAUAAUUACAUUGCAGGUUAACUCCACCUCAAGUGGCUAUAUUCCAGACAGCCACUAAAGGGGCUUCCUGGUGCUUUAUAGUGUUUAUCUCAAUGAAACAUGAGGAUGUCCAGCUUCUUGAACAUCCCCAUAAGAAAGCAUUGAUUCAAUAAUUUCCCAUGGGGAAGCUCUAAUGCACGUUACCCCAUUGCUGUGAUGUUGGAGGAGACAGAGCCAGCACUGAGGGACCUCGGCACUGGAAAGAGGUAAGUGAAAUAAAGGUUUCUUAGUGUUAGAGAUACAGUUUUGUUGGGAAGUACCAAAUAUUUAUUCCUAAACGUUCCUGCAAGGGUUACAUUCUGGUGUAAUACAUAUAUGGCAUAGUGAGUGCACCUUCAUUAUUAUCAUCAGUGGUUGUGACAAACUCCCCUUUUUCUGUGAGUUUGCAACGAGUUUUUGGAGGGGCCUGUUUGCCAGCCUCCUACCCUGGGACUAUGGCCCCUGUGUGAAAUCCUGGUUAGAACCACUGUGUGUGCCCUUUUUAAGCUUGUAUGGCCACACUUCAAACUUUCGAAGUGGCACUUCGAACUCCCAAACUUCCAAAGCCAUCCGAAGUGCCAUUCGAACACAUGGCGGCGGCCAUCUUGUUUAGUCGAACGCAUCCAGCGGUGUUUGGUCAUUGAGUGCAUGGAACUCAAAUCAGACAGCCAAUGGCAUGAACACGGCUAAACUUUUACCUUCCAUGGAGGUUCAGCUAUUCGAACGGGAGUCAAAAGAUGUUCGGUAAAAAGAAACAUAAUGGCAUUGUCCCCGAAUUGCUAUGUUCGGUAAUUCAACUGUUUAGGGCAUGAAACCAUGCGUGCAGUUGGUCAAAAAGAGACUUCCAGGAAUUUCCUGAACCCCUGCUCUAAUCUGGGUUAUUUUUGGAUAUGUUGUUCACCCAGAUCAGGGCUAUCAGGGGGUGUGUUGUGUUUUGGGGUACUUAUGAGAAUUUGUAAAAUAUGUGGUUUUUCUGCCUGGAGAUAAUUGAGUUACAUACUGUACUUUAUUCAAUUAUCUCCCAUGCAGAGGGGAGGGAUUGUGUGCUGUGUGUGGGAGUGUCAGUCACAUUUAAUUACUGUUCUGAUUGGUUUGUAAGCUUUGUGUCCCUGUCCCCUACAAGGUCCAUGUGGGUGUAUACCUUGCUUGGGCCAGCUGUGGCUUCCAUUAAACACACUCGUUUUACCCUUCAUGAAGUCUAGGCUCAUGUUUGGGGGAUUGGAGAACUACAUUCACUCUGGGGAUUGCUAUAAUCACUCUACUCCCCUGAGUAUAAUCAAUAAGCUCUAGUAAGAGCUGUUCCUGCUAUGCUCUCUGGACUAGGAAAGGUCUACCUACUGGAAGCUGGAUCCUGGUCUUGGGUCGACGGCGAGACCCCAACCAAGCUGCAGCAGUUCGUGGGGUUUAUGGUGCUUAUGGUGUUCCAGUGCAGUGCUUAUGGUACUCACAAGUACUAGGAAGCAGCAGUUGAUGGAGGUACCCAGUCGGAGUGCCAAGUGGACCGUCACAGUGGUCAAACUUUUCUUUUUUUAAAACCUGCAAAGCUAUAUAUUUGUGAGCCAUUUGCAAGUUAAAACAGGAUUAGAGGAAUUAAGUCACUAAACUGAGAAUUAUGGAGAAAUGACAAUGGAAUUGCAAAUUUUAGGUCAAAAUAGCCAAAUCGGAUAAAUUUUUCAAUUCGCUGCUUUUCCACAGUUAAUAAUUUGGUCUAGAAUGGUUCUAUAGCCAUUUUACCACAACUUCUGUCUGAGUAAACAACUUUGAUUGAUCAAUCACAUUAACAAGUUUUGGCCUGAACUUUAUUCACUAAAUACAACAAAUUUCAGUCGUGCUAAAUCCCGAUGGACGAAUGAAAACAAGUAGAUAUAAAAAGAAAAUAAAAGAAACAAAAUGUAAAAAACGCUACCUUAUCUCUGAAAGGAAAUCACCCUUUACUAGUAUUUAACUGUAAAGGUUUUGAUAUUUAUAUGUUUACUAAGAGUAAUUAAGAAGACUUUGUCAUAAUAACAUCUUUAUAUAAGAUCAUUAUUUUUUGUGUGUAUAAAGCACCACCUGCAGAGCACACUAGGAAACUGCAACACGUAUAAAUGCUGUCCUUGUUAAACAUACAAUACAAAAAUAAAGAUGGUUAUUUGCAAAUACUGAGGUAAAAGAAGGUGGCACUUUGGAUAAACAUAAGCCUUUGGAAUGGUAUUGCUGACGCAUUUAAUAAGUGAUUAGCGUCACAGGAGCUGUCUGCACAAAAAGGUUGCUGUUAAAAUGUCAAAUUCAAAAUGUCUAGAUCAUUUUUAUUGAAAUUUUGUUUUUCAGUUGAUCCUAAUUUGGUAUUAGUGAAUGACCCCAGCUUUGGUGACACAUACAUAUAUACUGUAUUGGGUUUGUCUGAUAUCUAACAAUGGAAGCCUGAGGUUGUCAGUUUAUUUAAUUUAUUGUGAGCUGUAUCAAAUACCCUUACCAAAUGUAGGUAACGAUAUCUAGUGUGUUCACCCUGUUUAUUCACCAAACUGGGAAUUGUUGAGAAAUGACAAAAACAUUGCAAAUAUUACUCCAAAUCAGCUGAUAACAGUUUAACCGCAAAGAAAAAUACGGCAAUAAACCCCUCUUAACUUCACCUAUUCUCCUGCAUUCCUUCAAAACUUACAGGUAAAAACAUGUGACAGCAAGAACAAUGGUUAAUCUGUCCACUUGCAGAAGGACUCUAAAUGUGGACAGUAUGUCACCCAUGUUUCCCUAUGAGAUGCCACACAUCAAAAUGUCAAGAACUUGCAAGAGCUUAUGUCCAAAGCAGAGAAGUGUCUGUAUCAAAAACACUCUGGUCAUCCAAGGCUCCAUGGGGAAAUUAAAAAAGGCAAUAAUUGUGCUCUCAAUUAUGAUAAAAACAUGUAAAAGUAAAUAAAAUAAUACUUACAAGCUUAGAGCAGAAGCACUGCUCUAUUAAUAGAAUCUUUAAAUACAGGAACAAUAAAAAGCCAGGAAGAGUAAGAAUACUAAAAGUGCAUAAAAAUACAAUCAAAAGAGGCUUGGCACAGCAAAGUUACCAAAAAACAUUUAAUGAUCUAAAAUACACAAUAUAAAAAAAUAUAGAAACUACGCGUUUCACCAAUAUAGGCUUUCUCAAAUGGUAUAAAAAAAAAAACAUACAACCUGGCUAGUAGGGGGGAAAAUAGUUUAAAAUUGGCACCAAAACUACAUCAUAGGCUGUCCUCCAAUCAGCAUACAUCAUUAUUGUAUAAAUUAUAAAUAAGGCAAACAGUGGUACAUACUAAUAGAUAUUAGUAGUGAGUAGUUUCGGCUAUUUGAAGCCGGAGCACGUGACGCACGUAACAUGCACAGCUUUAUUUACCAGCCGCUAGGUGUAAUGGGAAAUGUAGUUCCCAGUGAAGUAAUUACGAGGUCAGCAAAAAAAUCGUCAUUUGCCGACCUCGAAAUUAAGUAAGAUAGGGAAGAUGGAAUGCAGGUGGUAGGCAAGCGAAAAACAACAGUUUGAUAGGGGAAAAAAAAGAAGUAAUAAUGUAAAAUAAAAUAAAUCACGGCGGCCAUCUUGGUUGGGGAAAAUAAUAUUGACAAAUACCAUAUACAUGGGGAGUAAACUUAGUGGCCAUGUUUGGGGGGGAACAUCCCUAAUGUUUGUUAAAAAUUGCUGUACAUAAUAAUGAGUAAUGUAAACUAAAAGUAAUAAUAAUGAAUAAGGUAAAAAUAGCUGAAUAAGUUAUUAGGUAAAUAACAAAGAGGACAUUUAAAAGGUUUUGUAUAAGAUUAAACAAUUAAAAGUGUCAUAAGAACUGAGAGGAAGUGGUUAUAGUAGGGGUGUUCUUAAUCAUAAUGCCGCAGGUAAAACAACUAUGUAUUAGAACAGCCCUAAGAUAACAACAAAAUAUUCUCAAGGAAGUGCUGAUAAAAGUGGUGCUUCAACUAAAAACAUGAAAUAUUAUUAAAAUCUUAGUAAUAAAGCAUGACAAUAGAUACUCUGACCAACAUGGGUAGGUAAUGCAUGGGUAUUAUAUAAAAGAUGAUAUAUACAUAUAACGUAGUACACAUAAUUAAAUAAAAUUAAACAGAUGGAAAUCCACAUUCAGACCAGAGGGGGUUAAUAUUUUUAAAUUAAAUACCCAUUCCAUUUCAACCUUGCCUAGAAUGUUCUUGAUAUUUUCACCUCUCCAUGGAAUCACACAUUUUUUGAUACCUAUGCAUUUAAGUCGUUUUGUGUCAUUAUUAUGAAUGCAAAAAUGUUUGGAGACUGAUUGAUUUAAAUAUCAGUUUUUAAUGUUUCUACAAUGUUCACUCAGUCUAGUUUUGAGGUUUCUUGUGGUCAUACCUACAUACUGGAGGCCACACGGGCACUCCAGUAAGUAGAUUAAAUUUUUAGUGUCGCAGCUGAUAAAAUCCUUAAUUUUAUAAGUUUUAUUAGUUAUAUUUGAUUUAAAUAGAGUGUUUUUGAUGGAACAGAGGGGGCUGUGUUUUUGCAAACAAUACAUCGCUUACAUUUGUAAAAUCCACUGGCAUUGGAAAUAAAAGAGGUGGUGUUAAGUUUAGUCUCUUUAGUAAAAUUGGUGGUUAAAAUAGGCCUAAAACUAGGAGCACCUCUAAAAACAAUCUUCGGUCUAUCCGGUAUAAUGUUUUUUAGUACUUCAUCGUGUUUUAGUAAAUGCAUAUGCUUUUUAAUUAUUUUCUUUAUAUGACCACUUUUGUUGUUAAAAUUAAAAAUUACCGGAAGGGGCAUGGCAUUAGUGGUUGGUUUGUUUUUGUAUGUCAGGAGAUCUGUUCUUUCUUUCUUCCUAAUACCAUUUAUGGUGGUGUUGAGAUGGGUUGGUGAAUAGUUUUUUUCAAUAAAUUAAUCUCUUAAAAAAUUUGCUUGUGUAUUAAAAUCUUCUAAUUGAGAACAAUUCCUAUGGAGACAUAGAAAUUGGCUUUGUGGGGCACUUUCUAAUCAGGGCUUAUAAUGACAACUCGAUUGCUCAAUGUGCUAUAGACAGAUGCCUAUUCUUGUAUUCUUCUCCUACUGUUCUCGGCAAAACUGGCUGUGUUGAAAAACCGAGGAAGAAGACAAUGUCUGCUCACAGUCCAAAAGCAGACAAUGUAACAAUCUAUGCACCUGUACAACAAGUUCAACCCAAGAAUUAAUUAGACCAUGCCAAAAUUGGAUAAAUUGUAUCUUGUGAGCCUGAUUGUUUUCUUCCUAGAGUUACUGCUUCAUAUUUUCUCCUGCUGCAACAAUAUUUGAAAAUACAGCGAUUUUACUAAUAAAAUUUCAUAUAAUGUGAUUGUGCUGUUUAUACUAUGUGGUUGUUAUUUAUUGUUUCUCUUCCUUUAGUAAUUAUUUAUUGUCAUUUUAUGAAUUCAUGUUGUUUGUGGGUGUUUCUUCGCAUUUUUCCUUUAAAGGGACACCAUAGGCUCUAUAACUUCUUCAACUGAUUAAAGGUAUUAUGGUGCCUGAAGACCACAUGGGCCGAGUCCAACAUUAAUCUUAAACUGAUGCCAACAGAUAUACUCUGUCUCUGGCAGCCUACAGCUCCCCAAGAUGAUCUUGUGAAGGAAGAGUGAUGUUGUGCCUCACAUCAAUUCAUACCAGGGAAUGCUGAAAAAGAUAUAUAAUAAAAGUAAUUAGUUAAUGCCCUUAGCCUAUCAUUGCCUAAUUCCCCUGGAAUGGUGUAU